This 772-nucleotide ribosomal RNA is filed under the name Microbacteriaceae bacterium. RNAcentral's name for it is "bacterial SSU rRNA". It matches the Rfam family "Bacterial small subunit ribosomal RNA", at positions 43 to 824 of the family's 1533-position model. Lineage: Bacteria; Bacillati; Actinomycetota; Actinomycetes; Micrococcales; Microbacteriaceae. The record is from RNAcentral.
CGUGCUUAACACAUGCAAGUCGAACGAUGAAGCUGGGUGCUUGCACUUGGUGGAUUAGUGGCGAACGGGUGAGUAACACGUGAGCAAUCUGCCCUUGACUCUGGGAUAAGCGUUGGAAACGACGUCUAAUACCGGAUACGACCCUCGGAGGCAUCUCCUGGGGGUGGAAAGAAUUUUGGUCAAGGAUGAGCUCGCGGCCUAUCAGCUUGUUGGUGAGGUAAUGGCUCACCAAGGCGACGACGGGUAGCCGGCCUGAGAGGGUGACCGGCCACACUGGGACUGAGACACGGCCCAGACUCCUACGGGAGGCAGCAGUGGGGAAUAUUGCACAAUGGGCGAAAGCCUGAUGCAGCAACGCCGCGUGAGGGAUGACGGCCUUCGGGUUGUAAACCUCUUUUAGUAGGGAAGAAGCGAAAGUGACGGUACCUGCAGAAAAAGCACCGGCUAACUACGUGCCAGCAGCCGCGGUAAUACGUAGGGUGCAAGCGUUGUCCGGAAUUAUUGGGCGUAAAGAGCUCGUAGGCGGUUUGUCGCGUCUGCUGUGAAAUCUGGGGGCUCAACCCCCAGCCUGCAGUGGGUACGGGCAGACUAGAGUGCGGUAGGGGAGAUUGGAAUUCCUGGUGUAGCGGUGGAAUGCGCAGAUAUCAGGAGGAACACCGAUGGCGAAGGCAGAUCUCUGGGCCGUAACUGACGCUGAGGAGCGAAAGCAUGGGGAGCGAACAGGAUUAGAUACCCUGGUAGUCCAUGCCGUAAACGUUGGGAACUAGAUGUG